Molecule: ribosomal RNA, 1319 nt
Filed under: Bacillus velezensis
Lineage: Bacteria; Bacillati; Bacillota; Bacilli; Caryophanales; Bacillaceae
Description: bacterial SSU rRNA
Rfam family: Bacterial small subunit ribosomal RNA
Source: RNAcentral
GCUCCCUGAUGUUAGCGGCGGACGGGUGAGUAACACGUGGGUAACCUGCCUGUAAGACUGGGAUAACUCCGGGAAACCGGGGCUAAUACCGGAUGGUUGUUUGAACCGCAUGGUUCAGACAUAAAAGGUGGCUUCGGCUACCACUUACAGAUGGACCCGCGGCGCAUUAGCUAGUUGGUGAGGUAACGGCUCACCAAGGCAACGAUGCGUAGCCGACCUGAGAGGGUGAUCGGCCACACUGGGACUGAGACACGGCCCAGACUCCUACGGGAGGCAGCAGUAGGGAAUCUUCCGCAAUGGACGAAAGUCUGACGGAGCAACGCCGCGUGAGUGAUGAAGGUUUUCGGAUCGUAAAGCUCUGUUGUUAGGGAAGAACAAGUGCCGUUCAAAUAGGGCGGCACCUUGACGGUACCUAACCAGAAAGCCACGGCUAACUACGUGCCAGCAGCCGCGGUAAUACGUAGGUGGCAAGCGUUGUCCGGAAUUAUUGGGCGUAAAGGGCUCGCAGGCGGUUUCUUAAGUCUGAUGUGAAAGCCCCCGGCUCAACCGGGGAGGGUCAUUGGAAACUGGGGAACUUGAGUGCAGAAGAGGAGAGUGGAAUUCCACGUGUAGCGGUGAAAUGCGUAGAGAUGUGGAGGAACACCAGUGGCGAAGGCGACUCUCUGGUCUGUAACUGACGCUGAGGAGCGAAAGCGUGGGGAGCGAACAGGAUUAGAUACCCUGGUAGUCCACGCCGUAAACGAUGAGUGCUAAGUGUUAGGGGGGUUUCCGCCCCUUAGUGCUGCAGCUAACGCAUUAAGCACUCCGCCUGGGGAGUACGGUCGCAAGACUGAAACUCAAAGGAAUUGACGGGGGCCCGCACNAGCGGUGGAGCAUGUGGUUUAAUUCGAAGCAACGCGAAGAACCUUACCAGGUCUUGACAUCCUCUGACAAUCCUAGAGAUAGGACGUCCCCUUCGGGGGCAGAGUGACAGGUGGUGCAUGGUUGUNGUCAGCUCGUGUCGUGAGAUGUUGGGUUAAGUCCCGCAACGAGCGCAACCCUUGAUCUUAGUUGCCAGCAUUCAGUUGGGCACUCUAAGGUGACUGCCGGUGACAAACCGGAGGAAGGUGGGGAUGACGUCAAAUCAUCAUGCCCCUUAUGACCUGGGCUACACACGUGCUACAAUGGRCAGAACAAAGGGCAGCGAAACCGCGAGGUUAAGCCAAUCCCACAAAUCUGUUCUCAGUUCGGAUCGCAGUCUGCAACUCGACUGCGUGAAGCUGGAAUCGCUAGUAAUCGCGGAUCAGCAUGCCGNGGUGAAUACGUUCCCGGGCCGUUGU